Molecule: unclassified non-coding RNA, 229 nt
Filed under: plant metagenome
Description: partial contains small subunit ribosomal RNA, internal transcribed spacer 1, and 5.8S ribosomal RNA
Source: RNAcentral
UCUCCGUAGGUGAACCUGCGGAGGGAUCAUUACAGAGUUCAUGCCCUAACGGGUAGAUCUCCCACCCUAUGUUAUCAUCACUUUGAUGCUUUGGCGGGCCGUCAGGCCUCGGCUUGGCUACCGGCUCUCGCUGGUAAGCGCCCGCCAGAGAACCCCAAACCCUGAAUAUCAGUGUCGUCUGAGUACUAUAUAAUAGUUAAAACUUUCAACAACGGAUCUCUUGGUUCUG